ACACGACCCCAGGUCAGGCGGGGACACCCGCUGAGUUUAAGCAUAUCAAUAAGCGGAGGAGAAGAAACUUACGAGGAUUCCCCUAGUAACGGCGAGCGAACCGGGAGAAGCCCAGCCUGGGAAUCGGGCGGCUGUGCUGUCCGAAUUGUAGUCUGGAGAAGCGUCCUCAGCGACGGACCGGGCCCAAGUCCCCUGGAAAGGGGCGCCUGGGAGGGUGAGAGCCCCGUCCGGCCCGGACCCUGCCGCACCAUGAGGCGCUGUCGGCGAGUCGGGUUGUUUGGGAAUGCAGCCCCAAUUGGGCGGUAAAUUCCGUCCAAGGCUAAAUAGCGGCGAGAGACCGAUAGCGAACAAGUACCGCGAGGGAAAGAUGAAAAGGACUUUGAAAAGAGAGUCAAAGAGUGCUUGAAAUUGUCGGGAGGGAAGCGGAUGGGGGCCGGCGAUGCACGUCGGUCGGAUGCGGAACGGCCCCUACCGGGGCCGGACCGCCGCUCGGCUCGGCGUGCGGACA
RNAcentral lists this ribosomal RNA (508 nucleotides) under Scadoxus cinnabarinus. RNAcentral describes it as "eukaryotic LSU rRNA". It matches the Rfam family "Eukaryotic large subunit ribosomal RNA", at positions 1 to 498 of the family's 3401-position model. The record is from RNAcentral. Lineage: Eukaryota; Viridiplantae; Streptophyta; Magnoliopsida; Asparagales; Amaryllidaceae.